CUCAUGCCCUUUAUGACCUUGGGCUACACACGUGCUACAAUGGGUGGUACAAAGAGAAGCCAACUCGCGAGAGCGCGCCAAUCUCAAAAAGCCAUCCUCAGUUCGGAUUGGAGUCUGCAACUCGACUCCAUGAAGUUGGAAUCGCUAGUAAUCGCGGAUCAGCAUGCCGCGGUGAAUACGUUCCCGGGCCUU
RNAcentral lists this ribosomal RNA (192 nucleotides) under uncultured Smithella sp. RNAcentral describes it as "partial 16S ribosomal RNA". It matches the Rfam family "Bacterial small subunit ribosomal RNA", at positions 1192 to 1382 of the family's 1533-position model. The record is from RNAcentral. Lineage: Bacteria; Pseudomonadati; Thermodesulfobacteriota; Syntrophia; Syntrophales; Smithellaceae.